UGGGGAAUAUUGCACAAUGGGCGCAAGCCUGAUGCAGCCAUGCCGCGUGUGUGAAGAAGGCCUUCGGGUUGUAAAGCACUUUCAGCGGGGAGGAAGGCGGUGAGGUUAAUAACCUCAUCGAUUGACGUUACCCGCAGAAGAAGCACCGGCUAACUCCGUGCCAGCAGCCGCGGUAAUACGGAGGGUGCAAGCGUUAAUCGGAAUUACUGGGCGUAAAGCGCACGCAGGCGGUCUGUCAAGUCGGAUGUGAAAUCCCCGGGCUCAACCUGGGAACUGCAUUGGAAACUGGAAGGCUAGAGUCUGGUAGAGGGGGGUAGAAUUCCAGGUGUAGCGGUGAAAUGCGUAGAGAUCAGGAGGAAUACCGGUGGCGAAGGCGGCCCCCUGGACAAAGACUGACGCUCAGGUGCGAAAGCGUGGGGAGCAAACAGG
Molecule: ribosomal RNA, 429 nt
Filed under: Chloroflexota bacterium
Lineage: Bacteria; Bacillati; Chloroflexota
Description: Chloroflexi bacterium partial 16S ribosomal RNA
Rfam family: Bacterial small subunit ribosomal RNA
Source: RNAcentral